UACAGAGGGGGCAAGCGUUAUUCGGAAUUACUGGGCGUAAAGGGCUCGUAGGCGGCCAACUAAGUCAUACGUGAAAUCCCUCGGCUUAACCGGGGAACUGCGUCUGAUACUGGAUGGCUUGAGUUCGGGAGAGGGAUGCGGAAUUCCAGGUGUAGCGGUGAAAUGCGUAGAUAUCAGGAGGAACACCGGUGGCGAAGGCGGGUCUCUGGGCAACAACUGACGCUGAGGAGCGAAAGCGUGGGGAGCGAACAGG
This 253-nucleotide ribosomal RNA is filed under the name uncultured bacterium. Its description in RNAcentral is "partial 16S ribosomal RNA". It matches the Rfam family "Bacterial small subunit ribosomal RNA", at positions 524 to 776 of the family's 1533-position model. The record is from RNAcentral.